This 162-nucleotide ribosomal RNA is filed under the name uncultured bacterium. Its description in RNAcentral is "partial 16S rRNA". It matches the Rfam family "Bacterial small subunit ribosomal RNA", at positions 355 to 511 of the family's 1533-position model. The record is from RNAcentral.
UAGGGAAUCUUCCACAAUGGGCGAAAGCCUGAUGGAGCAACGCCGCGUGUGUGAUGAAGGGUUUCGGCUCGUAAAACACUGUUGUAAGAGAAGAAUGACAUUGAGAGUAACUGUUCAAUGUGUGACGGUAUCUUACCAGAAAGACGGCUAAAUACGUGCCAG